RNAcentral lists this ribosomal RNA (253 nucleotides) under uncultured bacterium. RNAcentral's name for it is "partial 16S ribosomal RNA". It matches the Rfam family "Bacterial small subunit ribosomal RNA", at positions 524 to 776 of the family's 1533-position model. The record is from RNAcentral.
UACGUAGGGGGCAAGCGUUGUCCGGAUUUAUUGGGCGUAAAGCGCGUGUAGGCGGCCAGAUAGGUCUGCUGUGAAAUCCCGAGGCUCAACCUCGGGUCUGCAGUCGAUACGAGCAAACUAGAGUGUUGCAGGGGAGACUGGAAUUCCUGGUGUAGCGGUGAAAUGCGUAGAGAUAUGGAGGAACACCAGUGGCGAAGGCGACUUUCUGGUCUGUAACUGACACUGAGGCGCGAAAGCGUGGGGAGCAAACAGG